UGGGGAAUAUUGCACAAUGGGGGAAACCCUGAUGCAGCGACGCCGCGUGAGCGAUGAAGGCUUUCGAGUCGUAAAGCUCUGUCCUAUGGGAAGAUAAUGACGGUACCAUAGAAGAAAGCCCCGGCUAAUUACGUGCCAGCAGCCGCGGUAAUACGUAAGGGGCGAGCGUUGUCCGGAAUUAUUGGGCGUAAAGAGUGCGUAGGCGGAAAUGCAAGUCAGGUGUAAAAGGCAGUAGCUUAACUACUGUAAGCAUUUGAAACUGCAUAUCUUGAGAAGAGUAGAGGUAAGUGGAAUUUUUAGUGUAGCGGUGAAAUGCGUAGAUAUUAAAAAGAAUACCGGUGGCGAAGGCGACUUACUGGGCUCAUUCUGACGCUGAGGAACGAAAGCGUGGGUAGCAAACAGG
This 403-nucleotide ribosomal RNA is filed under the name Verrucomicrobiota bacterium. Its description in RNAcentral is "Verrucomicrobia bacterium partial 16S ribosomal RNA". It matches the Rfam family "Bacterial small subunit ribosomal RNA", at positions 355 to 776 of the family's 1533-position model. The record is from RNAcentral. Lineage: Bacteria; Pseudomonadati; Verrucomicrobiota.